AAAUGAAUAGACGGGGACCCGCACAAGCAGCGGAGCAUGUGGUUUAAUUCGAAGCAACGCGAAGAACCUUACCAGGACUUGACAUGCCCUUGCCCGUUCUAGAGAUAGAACCUUAUCUUCGGAUACAAGGGACACAGGUGGUGCAUGGUUGUCGUCAGCUCGUGUCGUGAGAUGUUGGGUUAAGUCCCGCAACGAGCGCAACCCUUGUCUUUAGUUGCUAACAGCUAGGCUGAGCACUCUAGAGAGACUGCCGAUGAGAAAUCGGAGGAAGGUGGGGAUGACGUCAAAUCAUCAUGCCCUUUAUGUCCUGGGCUACACACGUGCUACAAUGGUCGGUACAACGAGGAGCAACACAGCGAUGUGAAGCAAAUCUCUUAAAGCCGAUCCCAGUUCGGAUUGCAGGCUGCAACUCGCCUGCAUGAAGUCGGAGUUGCUAGUAAUCGCGAAUCAGAAUGUCGCGGUGAAUGCGUUCCCGGGUCUUGUACACACCGCCCGU
RNAcentral lists this ribosomal RNA (496 nucleotides) under uncultured bacterium. RNAcentral describes it as "bacterial SSU rRNA". It matches the Rfam family "Bacterial small subunit ribosomal RNA", at positions 903 to 1397 of the family's 1533-position model. The record is from RNAcentral.